UACAGAGGUCUCAAGCGUUGUUCGGAUUCAUUGGGCGUAAAGGGUGCGUAGGCGGCGCGGUAAGUCGGAUGUGAAAUCCCACGGCUCAACCGUGGAACUGCAUUCGAUACUGUCGGGCUAGAGGCAGGUAGGGGAGAUCGGAAUUCCUGGUGUAGCGGUGAAAUGCGCAGAUAUCAGGAGGAACACCGGUGGCGAAGGCGGAUCUCUGGGCCUGUCCUGACGCUCAGGCGCGAAAGCUAGGGGAGCGAACAGG
This 253-nucleotide ribosomal RNA is filed under the name uncultured bacterium. RNAcentral describes it as "partial 16S ribosomal RNA". It matches the Rfam family "Bacterial small subunit ribosomal RNA", at positions 524 to 776 of the family's 1533-position model. The record is from RNAcentral.